Molecule: ribosomal RNA, 376 nt
Filed under: uncultured bacterium
Lineage: Bacteria
Description: bacterial SSU rRNA
Rfam family: Bacterial small subunit ribosomal RNA
Source: RNAcentral
UACAGAGGGUGCAAGCGUUGUUCGGAAUUACUGGGCGUAAAGCGCGUGUAGGCGGUCUGGUAAGUCGGUCGUGAAAUCCCUAGGCUCAACCUAGGAACUGCGAUCGAAACUGUUAGGCUAGAGUAUCGGAGGGGAUGGCAGAAUUCCUGGUGUAGAGGUGAAAUUCGUAGAUAUCAGGAGGAACACCUGUGGCGAAGGCGGCCAUCUGGAAGAUUACUGACGCUGAGACGCGAAAGCGUGGGGAGCAAACAGGAUUAGAUACCCUGGUAGUCCACGCCGUAAACGAUGAGUGCUAGGUGUUGCGGGUAUUGACCCCUGCAGUGCCAAAGCUAACGCGUUAAGCACUCCGCCUGGGGAGUACGGUCGCAAGAUUAAA